RNAcentral lists this ribosomal RNA (562 nucleotides) under uncultured cyanobacterium. Its description in RNAcentral is "bacterial SSU rRNA". It matches the Rfam family "Bacterial small subunit ribosomal RNA", at positions 216 to 791 of the family's 1533-position model. Lineage: Bacteria; Bacillati; Cyanobacteriota. The record is from RNAcentral.
UGUCUGGGGAUGGGCCUGCGGCUGAUUAGCUAGUUGGUGAGGGUAAUGGCCCACCAAGGCGAGGAUCAGUAGCUGGCCUGAGAGGGCGGCCGGCCACAUUGGGACUGAGACACGGCCCAGACUCCUACGGGAGGCAGCAGUGAGGAAUCUUCUGCAAUGGGCGCAAGCCUGACAGAGCAACGCCGCGUGGAGGAAUAAGGCCACUCAAGGCUGUAAACUCCUUUGCACGGGCACAGGAAGGCUGACCGCCCGGGAAGCAAGCAUCGGCUAACUCCGUGCCAGCAGCCGCGGUAAUACGGGGGAUGCAAGCGUUAUCCGGAUUUACUGGGCGUAAAGCGUCUGUAGGCGGUUCGGUGUGUCUGUUGUCAAAACGCAGGGCCUAACUCUGUGGGGCAUCUGGAUACUAUCGAACUAGAGGGCGGUAGAGGUGGGGGGAACCCCUCGAGGAGCAGUGAAAUGCUUUGAUACGUAGAGGAAGGCCGGAGGCGAANGCUCCCCACUGGGCCGCACCUGACGCUGAGAGACGAAAGCUAGGGGAGCGAAUGGGAUUAGAUACCCCAGU